AAAAACUCCCAUCAGCCUCUGGCAGCUUCAACUUCCCCCCCCAGCUCCCGAAGCUGUCUUCAAGCCUUCGCCUGUUAACUUUACUGCCACAGAGAGAAAUAUUUCCACCAAGGAAGAGAGAAAUGAAAGGAGACGAGAAUGUCACAAGUGGCAGAACUUCUGCUGGGAUUUCAUUCUCCACCCCUGCUUGGGACUCCUUCCUGCUUCUUCCUAUCCUAAUGCAAACAUGGUCUAGCUUCAGAAUAGCUGUUAUCCAAAAGCUUCUGGCAGAGGACGUACAAGCCCACGCUACCACCCCAACCAUACAUGUGUAUGUCUUGACCUUUCAAUUUCCUUGAGAGCCAUACCCACUGGAAAUGACUAUUAAAACAAAGAAAAGCUUCACCGCAUUCUGGCAUUUUCAGGGAAAAAAAAAAUCCAGCUAAUGGAAAGUGCUUGAUAAUGUUUGCUUUUGUCUUUUCUCUUGCAUGUUCAGCUGAACUUAAUCUAUUGUUUGCAGUUAGACAAAAGGCAGGACAAAUUACAUGUUUGCCUACGCCUAUUCAAAGAAAGGGAACAAAGGUUUCAGAAUCAGCCAUAGAAAAUGGAGUUAUUUUUCUCACUCUUUACAAAUAUUUAAGUUGUAAGCAUCUGAGCUGCAGAAAUAACAAGCCUAGCUGAAACUGCCUUUUCCCAAGAAACCUGAAAAGACUUUACCAAAAAAAGAAAAAGACACUUCUUUUCACUUGUCAUGAAAAUAUUUUCAAGACCAGUUAAGAGAAAUAACUUUUAGAUUUUAAUUUACAAGACAAGAGCCAUUUUAAGUAUUGCAUUUUUGUGUUUAGGUUCUUUUGAUGAAAUAAUGAAGAAAGUAACCAAAUCCACAAAAAUAUUUAUUUGUAACACAUUUGCUUAAUAACAAUUCUGAUGUACUUCUGGUCCUAAGAAAGACCAUGUCCCACAAAUUUAUAUAAUUCUAAAUUAAAUAAAUGACUUAAUUUUAUCAGAGAACUCUCACCGCUAGUUCAGAUGCGUUUUGUAUUUAUCUCUGACGUUUUACUAUAGAAACAUAUUGCUUGUCCCAUCAUGUCUUAUGUAAUUUACUGAGUCCAGAGGACACACAUUUUAUUGUACAACAUGGAGCAGUGACCAUUAAUAAAUUUCCCUCAGGAGACAUUAGCAAUUUUUAAAAAAAUGUUUUCAUGCAUUUUCUAGCACAAUAAUUUCCACUGUUUUGGAAAGUAGGAUAUUUUAUCAAUGGGGUGGGUGGUGGCCUACUAUAUCAUGAUAUACCAGAAUUGUGUGAGGAGUGGCAUGUUUUGGAAAAGGCAUACUUUGGUUAAUUAAGUUUUUGUAAAUAGAACCUGCUCUCAACUUUAGGACAUCUGAUACCUGUACUGGUUUUGAAAUGGAGUUGUGGUGCAGCACUGGUUUUGUUAGUUAUACUACAUUUAUAGCUAUUGUCCACCACUGUGGUCUUCUUCUUCUUGUUGCAUGCCAUUUUAAAGGACAGUGAAAAAUAUUGCCAUUUUUAGAAUAAAGUAAAGGUCCUUCAUCCUUCACAACUGAAAACAAGGCAGCUGAAGGCCAAAAUUUCACUCACACAGAUUUCUGUGGACUGCCUGAGCAGCAUGGCAGCUAUGAUAUUAAGACAAAAAGAAUGGCAACUAUCAGCUUUGAGAACUGGAGACACCAAAUUAUGAUGCAUGAAUAGGGCUACUCAAUAGGGAUUUCUUUUAAUAUACAUGUACACAGGGAUUGGAAAUGGACUGGAAAAAUCAGCCUAUUUUAAAAUAUGGUUGCUAUGCUUAAUUUUCUCAUUUGCCACCAACUGGAUGAAUAAAUCGAUCACUUUGUUCAUUGCAUAAUAAUUUAAGGAUUAACCCUUUCCUGUAUUUCUACACAGUGCUAUAGCAGUAGAAAAAUACUGCUUCUCUAGAGUGAGUGUUCAGUUUUAUGUAGCCUAAGAGAAAAUGUUUAUCUAUUUAGUGCAACCUAGUACAGGAAAACAAGUUUUCCAGAUUCUUCUGGAAAAAUAUUUCAAGAUAAGCAAAUAAGAUCUUGGUCUAGAGAAUGCCAUGAAUAUCUGAAAAUACAUAAAUAAUUUCAUAGGCAUAUGUAACUGAGAGGAGUCAAGUCAUUCCUGUGCUUCUGUAGCUAAUUUCACAGCAUAUGAGUAUGUGAGUAUAGAGAAAAGACUCUUUAGCAUCAGCCUUUCCUAGAUUUUUCUGUCUCUAUCUGAUCACGUAAAAAGUUGUGGUACUAAGAAAGUACACAAUACAUUUCCUUGGUUUAAAAAAAAAUAUUUCUAAUCUGGUACUAGGGCUUUUCUGCAAGAGCACGAUUGGAAAAGUGUUCUUUGGUGACUGACAAAAAUAGCACAAGAGCAAAUGGGUCUUUACCAUUUACAUAUUCAGCAUUGAAUAAAAAUUGUCUUUGCAAAUAGUCUGAAACUACCAAACUAGUUUUUCAAAAGUUGUUGGAGGGUCUGAAGUGGAUUCAUUAAAUCUUUGUUUCGUAACACAAGCUGAAUUUGUCACAGCAAUAUUGGGCAAGUGCUAUGUUCUUGUGUAUGCCUUAAGAGCUACUCAUCCACUGCAUUUUUAGAUGACAAAUCUAAUACAUUAGGAGAGGUUUAUUCAUCCUAAAGAAUACUUGAUCUUACUGUGAUGCAUGAGCUCCAAAAGUUAAUGGUUACUUGCUGUGCACUUUUCAUGAAGAUUGAAAAAGAUUAAACUGUCAUAAAAAUCCCUGCUUUGUACUGCUGGGCAGAAAAGAUAAUCAAGCUCAGCGGGACUGUGUUACCUUCUAGCAGCUCUCAGGACCCUGACCCAUCCUUUUGCCCUCUGUUAAAAUAAAGGUCCGAUGCUUUUAAUAAUUAUCUUUGUCAAUGAUAAAUCUCUCCAAAAUUUUGAAGUCAAAAAAAAGCUAAUCUUGUAAAAUGCCGUUUUAGGUACACCCCACUGUUUUUAUUUGUAUUUUGAUGAAAUCUAUUAAAAAUCUUUGAAUUUUGGUGACAUGACAGGUCCCAUUUAUCAAAUUUUUGUUUACUAGGCACAUUUCAGUUUAAGUGAAUCUUGGUUGUGAUCAAAAGUUUUUUCCAAACUUCCCUCUACACAACAAGCUAGCUUAUUUUACUUUUUUCAUUUUUAUAAUUACAGCAAGAAGUAAAGUAAAAGUUAGCUAAAUAUUUUAUCUCAAUAUAAAAGAGACAAACAGUAAGAAGUUAAACUAACAUAAACUAACAAACAGUAAGGAGUUAAAGUAAUAGACUACAGGAGCAAGAAUCAGGGAUUAUUUGGUCAGUCUUGUUCUUUUAUUUGAAAAAUACUGAAUUCUUCCUUAAUUUGGAAGGCAAAUAUAAGAGAUAUAAGAGACAUAAGAGUCAUAUAAGAGACAUAAAAGUCCUCUAACCACCCUCUAGCUACUAAAUAAUGGCUUGCUUUUUUACAGACAACAUAACAAAAUGUUUUGCUAAAGGUAUGGAGGAUGCAAGGAUAAAUUUUGGGAA
Cyanistes caeruleus (blue tit) is the source of this 3490-nucleotide non-coding RNA. Lineage: Eukaryota; Metazoa; Chordata; Aves; Passeriformes; Paridae. The record is from RefSeq and is a predicted model, not a curated record.